Molecule: long non-coding RNA, 1730 nt
Organism: Helianthus annuus (common sunflower)
Lineage: Eukaryota; Viridiplantae; Streptophyta; Magnoliopsida; Asterales; Asteraceae
Exons: 2
Source: RefSeq, a predicted model, not a curated record
GGUGCAAUUGAAAUUAAAUCUCUGAAUGGAAUUCCAUUCAAAGUCAAUGGACAAUGGCUAAAGCUUAAUCAAGGAUUCAUUAAGGAUGAAGAGGAAGAGAUCUCGCUACAAGCGGCCGAGGAAUGAACAAAGGUUUGUACACCAACAUCAUAUCUUGUAGGUAAUGGACGUCGGGAAAGCUUCAAAAAUCGGUAAGAAAUUAUUAGUUUUUACCCACCCACGGGGCCGUGCCCGCUGGACAUGGGGCCGUGGUCGGCUACUGUUGGGCAUAAAACCCCUUUUUCUUCUCAUUUUCAUUUCACCACGACCGGUUUCCCCCAAAAACUCUCUGGUUCAACCGCAAAUCUCUGCAGAUUUUCACGUCUUUUCUCAAUCCAACGUCAACAAGAUGGCCAACAAAUUCACAAAGUUCAAGACAAAUGAGUGGGACUUCUAAGCCCGCUUUGAUGUUCUCACAACAAGGCCCGAGGAAAUUCCAAGACAAGUAUGCCUCGAGACCCUAGAAGCUGUGGGGCAGCUAGACCGUUUCAACACCCUAGUCACGGGUCCACUAAGGGUGGCCCUCUACACUAGACUCCGUGCAGUUCACGAAUAUAGCAUGGAGUUCUACAGCACUUUCACGUUCAAAGCUAAAGCAGAGCCGUUCGACGGAGAGGGAGUUCAAUUCCGGUGUGCGGGGGAGAUGCUUUCAAUCUCUAUUGCACAAUUUGGAGUGCAAAUUGGUCUGUUCUCUGAAGAAGAGUCCGAUGAAGAAGAAAACACGGGUGGUCUCCGUGAGAUCUCAACCAACAUGCGUCAGACGGCAUGGGCUCAAAUCGGGGAUGGUCCAUACGAUCCAAGCCAAAUCAAGAGCUCCUAAUUGCGGGACCCUCUCUACUGCUACAUUCAUAGGGUCCUUAGCAACUCUCUCAGUCAAAGGCGUGAUAGCACCGGUGUAGUCAACUUACGUGAUCUGACGGUCUUGUACUGCAUCCACAACCGUGUUGCUCUUGAUGUCCCACACCUACUCCUCCCAAACAUGCACCUGAAUCAGUUGGCUUCCUCCGCGACACCUAUCUUCUUUGGGGGAUGGAUCUACCGCCUUUUCAAGACCUAUGUUCAACGCAUGUCGAAAUCCUUCCGUAAGGGUCCAUGGUUGGGCAAGGUAGAUCUCAUUCAAUGUCAUUCAAUGGGGAUCAUCCACGAGACGGGUGACGGGACAGUCCGUUUCCAAACCACUCAGGGGCAUGUUUGGAACCCGGAGGAAGCCCUCGUUCUUCACGCCAUCCCAAUCUGUCCUCCUCCUCAAUUUCAUGGCCAGCCGGGUUCAUCCUCCUCUCAUGGGGGUGGUUUUCCUAACCUUCAAGGUUUGCAUGAUCUUUUGUAGGAAAACCUCAUAUGCACCCGCAACACCUACAACAUGGCCAGCAACACCUACACUCGGGUCAGAGCAAUGGAGAGGAACAUCUCUGAAAUGCAAGAUGACAUCACCUACAUCCGGGAUCACAUGGUGUAUCAAGGAGGAGACGAUGAAGACGAAGACAUGGACUGAUUCGGAGGAAUUGGAGGUAGUGUGACAUCGGAUGCAGCUUCUCUCAGGUUAAUCCUUUUAUCCCACGAACAAUUAACUGGCCUGCGUGCCAAAGUUUGAACAAUUUACUUCCCUUAACACUUUUACUUUCUACAUUUUAUUUUUCGUUUGCAUGUGAUGUUGGAUAAUUAACUUUGGUAGUUUAGGAUUGGUUGUUAUU